Molecule: transfer RNA, 74 nt
Filed under: Clostridiales bacterium
Lineage: Bacteria; Bacillati; Bacillota; Clostridia; Eubacteriales
Also listed under: 1 other name
Description: tRNA-Gly
Rfam family: tRNA
About the family: Transfer RNA (tRNA) molecules are approximately 80 nucleotides in length. Their secondary structure includes four short double-helical elements and three loops (D, anti-codon, and T loops).
Source: RNAcentral
GCGGAUGUAGUUCAAUGGCAGAAUAUCAGCUUCCCAAGCUGGAUACGGGAGUUCGAUCCUCCUCAUCCGCUCCA